Molecule: ribosomal RNA, 511 nt
Filed under: uncultured bacterium
Lineage: Bacteria
Description: partial 16S ribosomal RNA
Source: RNAcentral
GGAGUUAGCCGGUGCUUCUUCUGCGAGUAACGUCACAGAUGUAAGGUAUUAACUUACACCCUUUCCUCCUCGCUGAAAGUGCUUUACAACCCGAAGGCCUUCUUCACACACGCGGCAUGGCUGCAUCAGGGUUUCCCCCCAUUGUGCAAUAUUCCCCACUGCUUCCUCCCGUAGGAGUCUGGGCCGUGUCUCAGUCCCAGUGUGGCUGAUCAUCCUCUCAGACCAGCUAGGGAUCGUCGCCUAGGUGAGCCUUUACCUCACCUACUAGCUAAUCCCACCUGGGCUUAUCCAUCAGCGCAAGGCCCGAAGGUCCCCUGCUUUCCCCCGUAGGGCGUAUGCGGUAUUAGCAGUCGUUUCCAACUGUUAUCCCCACAAAUGGGCAAAUUCCCAGGCAUUACUCACCCGUCCGCCGCUCGUCAUCUUCAAAAGCAAGCUUUUGAAAUGUUACCGCUCGACUUGCAUGUGUUAGGCCUGCCGCCAGCGUUCAAUCUGAGCAUAAUACAACUACUGA